UACUAACGCUGGCGGCGUGCUUAACACAUGCAAGUCGAACGGAAAGGCCUGCUUUCCCUUGUGGAUUGCGGGUACUCGAGUGGCGAACGGGUGAGUAACACGUGAGUGAUCUGCCCCCAACUUGGGUAUAAGCCUGGGAAACUGGGUCUAAUUCCCGAUAGGACUGCAGGGUGGUGCCUGUGGUGGAAAACGAUUUUCUAGUGGUUGGGGAUGAGCUCGCGGCCUAUCAGCUUGUUGGUGGGGUAAUGGCCUACCAAGGCGGCGACGGGUAGCCGGCCUGAGAGGGUGGACGGCCACAUUGGGACUGAGAUACGGCCCAGACUCCUACGGGAGGCAGCAGUGGGGAAUAUUGCACAAUGGGCGGAAGCCUGAUGCAGCGACGCCGCGUGGGGGAUGACGGCCUUCGGGUUGUAAACUCCUUUCGACCGCGAGGAAGCCACCUGGUUGGAAGGGUGGUGACGGUAGUGGUAGAAGAAGCACCGGCUAACUACGUG
This 494-nucleotide ribosomal RNA is filed under the name uncultured bacterium. Its description in RNAcentral is "partial 16S ribosomal RNA". It matches the Rfam family "Bacterial small subunit ribosomal RNA", at positions 29 to 507 of the family's 1533-position model. The record is from RNAcentral.